This 232-nucleotide ribosomal RNA is filed under the name uncultured bacterium. RNAcentral describes it as "partial 16S ribosomal RNA". It matches the Rfam family "Bacterial small subunit ribosomal RNA", at positions 99 to 334 of the family's 1533-position model. The record is from RNAcentral.
CGGACGGGUGAGUAAUGUCUGGGAAACUGUCUGAUGGAGGGGGGUAACUACUGGAAACGGUAGCUAAUACCGCAUAACGUCGCAAGACCAAAGAGGGGGACCUUCGGGCCUCUUGCCAUCGGAUGCGCCCAGAUGGGAUUAGCUAGUAGGUGGGGUAAAGGCUCACCUAGGCGACGAUCCCUAGCUGGUCUGAGAGGAUGACCAGCCACACUGGAACUGAGACACGGUCCAG